RNAcentral lists this ribosomal RNA (263 nucleotides) under uncultured bacterium. RNAcentral describes it as "partial 16S ribosomal RNA". It matches the Rfam family "Bacterial small subunit ribosomal RNA", at positions 109 to 353 of the family's 1533-position model. The record is from RNAcentral.
AGUAACACGUAAACAACCUGCCUUCAGGAUGGGGACAACAGACGGAAACGACUGCUAAUACCGAAUAAGUUCCAAGAGCCGCAUGGCCCAUGGAAGAAAAGGUGGCCUCUACCUGUAAGCUAUCGCCUGAAGAGGGGUUUGCGUCUGAUUAGCUGGUUGGAGGGGUAACGGCCCACCAAGGCGACGAUCAGUAGCCGGUCUGAGAGGAUGAACGGCCACACUGGUACUGAGACACGGUCCAGACUCCUACGGGAGGCAGCAUG